GAUCCUUCUAGAACCCGGUUACUAUUCUAGGACAGGUUGAACCAACCAAACUUCAGUGGGGAGGGUACUUACCUAUGGAACUCAUGCAAGCCUUAAAACCUAGGAAUGAUUGUUGUGUGACUUGCUUGUGCUUGUUAUUUAUCUAACAACAUGACAUCAUAACAACAUAACAUCAUAACAUCAUGGCAUUGUACUAACCAUUUCAAGGAUUUAGGGAUUUAACUCUGCUAAAAAAAAAAAAAAACAAAAGCAAAAACAAAAGAGAAAAGAA
Molecule: long non-coding RNA, 271 nt
Filed under: Lathyrus oleraceus (garden pea)
Lineage: Eukaryota; Viridiplantae; Streptophyta; Magnoliopsida; Fabales; Fabaceae
Description: Pisum sativum (pea) long non-coding RNA (PSAT_LNC011208)
Source: RNAcentral